AGUGAACGCUGGCGGUAGGCCUAACACAUGCAAGUCGAACGGCCGCACAGUAAGAGCUUGCUCUUACGGGUGGCGAGUGGCGGACGGGUGAGGCAUACAUCGGAAUCUACUUUUUCGUGGGGGAUAACGUAGGGAAACUUACGCUAAUACCGCAUACGACCUACGGGUGAAAGCAGGGGAUCUUCGGACCUUGCGCGAUUGAAUGAGCUGAUGUCGGAUUAGCUAGUUGGCGGGGUAAAGGCCCACCAAGGCGACGAUCCGUAGCAGGUCUGAGAGGAUGAUCAGCCACACUGGAACUGAGACACGGUCCAGACCCCUACGGGAGGCAGCAGUGGGGAAUAUUGGACAAUGGGCGCAAGCCUGAUCCAGCCAUACCGCGUGGGUGAAGAAGGCCUUCGGGUUGUAAAGCCCUUUUGUUGGGAAAGAAAAGCAGCAGAUUAAUACCCCGCUGUUCUGACGGUACCCAAAGAAUAAGCACCGGCUAACUUCGUG
RNAcentral lists this ribosomal RNA (492 nucleotides) under uncultured bacterium. RNAcentral describes it as "partial 16S ribosomal RNA". It matches the Rfam family "Bacterial small subunit ribosomal RNA", at positions 29 to 507 of the family's 1533-position model. The record is from RNAcentral.